RNAcentral lists this ribosomal RNA (461 nucleotides) under uncultured bacterium. RNAcentral describes it as "partial 16S ribosomal RNA". It matches the Rfam family "Bacterial small subunit ribosomal RNA", at positions 28 to 506 of the family's 1533-position model. The record is from RNAcentral.
GACGAACGCUGGCGGCGUGCUUAACACAUGCAAGUCGAGCGGAAAGGCCCUUCGGGGUACUCGAGCGGCGAACGGGUGAGUAACACGUGAGUAACCUGCCCCAGACUUUGGGAUAACCCUCGGAAACGGGGGCUAAUACCGGAUACGACACAGCUUCGCAUGGGGUCUGUGUGGAAAGUUUUUCGGUUUGGGAUGGGCUCGCGGCCUAUCAGCUUGUUGGUGGGGUGAUGGCCUACCAAGGCGACGACGGGUAGCCGGCCUGAGAGGGCGACCGGCCACACUGGGACUGAGACACGGCCCAGACUCCUACGGGAGGCAGCAGUGGGGAAUAUUGCACAAUGGGCGGAAGCCUGAUGCAGCGACGCCGCGUGAGGGAUGACGGCCUUCGGGUUGUAAACCUCUUUCGGCAGGGACGAAGCGUAAGUGACGGUACCUGCAGAAGAAGCGCCGGCCAACUACGU